GCUGAGACGGCAACGAUGGUGGUGUUGCGGCGGGCUGUAAACUCGCUCCCUAAGGGUAAACAUUGGGGGUUCGAUUCCCUUUCUCAGCA
Molecule: transfer RNA, 89 nt
Filed under: Bdellovibrionales bacterium
Lineage: Bacteria; Pseudomonadati; Bdellovibrionota; Bdellovibrionia; Bdellovibrionales
Description: tRNA-Tyr
Rfam family: tRNA
About the family: Transfer RNA (tRNA) molecules are approximately 80 nucleotides in length. Their secondary structure includes four short double-helical elements and three loops (D, anti-codon, and T loops). Further hydrogen bonds mediate the characteristic L-shaped molecular structure. tRNAs have two regions of fundamental functional importance: the anti-codon, which is responsible for specific mRNA codon recognition, and the 3' end, to which the tRNAs corresponding amino acid is attached (by aminoacyl-tRNA synthetases). tRNAs cope with the degeneracy of the genetic code in two manners: having more than one tRNA (with a specific anti-codon) for a particular amino acid; and 'wobble' base-pairing, i.e. permitting non-standard base-pairing at the 3rd anti-codon position.
Source: RNAcentral